Unclassified non-coding RNA from Pongo abelii (Sumatran orangutan), 311 nucleotides. It matches the Rfam family "Metazoan signal recognition particle RNA". Rfam says of the family: The signal recognition particle (SRP) is a universally conserved ribonucleoprotein. NCBI's taxonomy places the organism in Eukaryota, Metazoa, Chordata, Mammalia, Primates, Hominidae. The record is from Ensembl.
GCUGGGUGUGGUGGCGGGCGCCUGUAGUCCUAGCUACUCAGGAGGCUGAGGCAGGAGAAUGGCGUGAACCCGGGAGACGGAGCUUACAGUGAGCCGAGAUAGCACCACUGCACUCCAGCCUGGGUGACAGAGCGAGACUCCGUCUCAGGUGGGGGAAAAAAAAAAGAACUAUAAGGUAAUAACGUUUGUUUUUUUUUUUUUUUUUUUUUUGAGGUGGAGUCUUGCUCUGUCACCCAGGCUGGAGUGCAGUGGCGCUAUCUCAGCUCACUGUAAGCUCCGUCUCCCGGGUUCACGCCAUUCUCCUGCCUCAG